CAGAAAUAACAAUAAAAUAAAUUGCUUACCUUUGAAGAUCUUCCUCUGGUGACAAUGCCAAGUGUAUAAGCUAAACAAUUAAUGUUCUUUUUGUUUGAUAAAAUCAAUUUUUAUAGCCUAACAUCGAAACAUUUGUAAACCGCUUGCGUCGUGACUUCCGUCUCAUUCAACUUUGGACAAAACAUUUGUGGUAAUUACACACACUAAACAAACGUUUAUCCAGUCAAGGUUGGUUACAUUGCAAUCCUCUGGGUGUUAGUAGCACAACCAAACUCAUGGUUCUUUUCCCGGGACAUAUUGACUGAAACAAACCGAUUUGAAGACACCAAUCAAUGACCUCAUUGCGGUCCAAUGGUAGGACCGGUCUAUUGUUGAUUGACUGUAUUUUGGCCCAAUGACCACUGAUCAUCUUGAAGUCUAGCUUAGAAGAUAGCCAAUGAGCUGAGGUAAACGGCAAUAUGUAAUGGUUAUACGUUCGAAGACCAGCCUUUGUCGUAAACUCUGGCGUAAAAGAGGUUCAUUCACCAUUGCAAAUCCUACUUGACGGAGCCACGAGUGUUACGCAUAGCAGUACAUAGUCAAUAGCAUUUUCAGCAAGUUUAUAUAUUUAACUUUUGCAGAGGCAUCUUCCUGGGUUCCACAAAAAAAACACAAAACAUGACAAGUAACAAAACACUGAGAGUCACACAAAUGUAAAAUAAAACGAUAUACAAACAAUAAAACAAAUCUAUGUAUGUAUGUGUAUAUAUUAUGAGUACAUUAUAAUAAUGCAUCCAGAAAUGUAUCUGACACCUCUCUUUCUAGGACAGACAUUAUGCAAAUUAACUCCCUCCCUCUGCUGUAUCAAUGACCUAUUCUGACACAAAUUUCAUCCCUGCAACCACCCUGUCUGUCAGUACCCAGGCAGACAUCGUCUGCCAUACAACAGAGAAACAUGUUUCUUACAUCUCUCCUCCUCCUGGCCUUCCUGCCAUAUCUACACAGCAUGAGUUAGACCUCCUCACCCGCUCAACUCAAACCUCCUGGAGAGACAGUGAAACUAUCUUGCCUGACCCUGAGCCUGCCUGGCAGGCAGAGCCUGAGCCUGCCGAGACAGGAGUGUGGGAAAGACCACCAUGGUAGGCUUGAAGAGACAAGACCAACUGGCAACAGACAAACACAAAACACAGGUGUAAAUGCACAAUGGCUGACACCUAGUGGAGACAAGCACAAGACAGGUGAAACAGAUCAGAAUGUGACAGAUUCACCAUCUUCAGAGACAGUAGUAAUGUAUUGUACUUAGACAUCACCAGUCUGCAGGCUGUGUAUUAUUGUGCUCGCUACGCACAGUGAUACAAACCAGCAGCAGACCUGUAUAAAAACUCACCCACCCCAUAAACGAUUGGAGUUAUACCCUCUGUAUAAUUUUUUUUUUUAAAUGUUAUUAAAAUAUUGUGGGAUUGAUCCGGUGGUUGUUUCAGAAGUAUGCCCCUGUAUCAUACUAUGAUAACAUGAUAACAGGUUUACUAAUAUUACUCUACUGUCAUGAGUAAUAAUUUGUACUGCAAUUCUCAUACUGUCCUUACAACUCCUCCUCAGGUUUGUGUUGUAAUGGAAAUGUAUUCUCCAUCAAUUUACCUGGUAAAAUAGAUAUAUAGACACACAAACAGCAGGAAUUCUUCUUCAUAACAGAGUAUCUCAAGAUGACCUCAUUCAAGUGAUCUGUAGGUAUUUAUCAAAGCCUCUUGUGAUAUGUCCUCCCAGUGAGGAGCUCAUGUAAAGCUCUCCAGCCCAUCUUUAUUUAGGUCUGCUGAGGACUGUCUCAACUACCUUUAGAGAACUACACAGAUCAACAUGUUUCCUACCACAGGAAUACUCUUACUGACAGUAUAUCUAACAGGUGAGGAUAUUAACAAUGUUUAUCAAAUGAAUAAGUCAACACAUUAGGAUUUAUUUACUUCAAUAUGAUCUCUGCUGUCUAUUUCCACUGUUGUUCAUGGUCAGACACUGACUGAGACUGAGUCUGGACCGGUGGUUAAAAAUCCUGGAGAAUCCCACACACUGAGUUGUACAGCCUAGAUUCACAUUCAGUAGAUACCAUAUGGCUUGGAUGAAACAGGCUCCUGGGAAAGGACUUGAGUUUGUUGCCUUUAUACACACUGGUGGUUCGAGUCCAUUCUAUUCCCAGUCAGUCCAGGGUAGAUUCACCAUCUCCAGAGAUGAC
RNAcentral lists this long non-coding RNA (2203 nucleotides) under Salmo salar (Atlantic salmon). RNAcentral describes it as "lncRNA (ENSSSAG00000112598.1)". The record is from RNAcentral. Lineage: Eukaryota; Metazoa; Chordata; Actinopteri; Salmoniformes; Salmonidae.